UGGUAAGUAGUUUAAACAAAACAAAUGAUUUCGACUCAUUAAAUUAUGAUAUUCAUACUAACCAA
This 65-nucleotide transfer RNA is filed under the name Cercopithecus albogularis (Sykes' monkey). RNAcentral describes it as "tRNA-Arg". It matches the Rfam family "tRNA". Rfam says of the family: Transfer RNA (tRNA) molecules are approximately 80 nucleotides in length. Lineage: Eukaryota; Metazoa; Chordata; Mammalia; Primates; Cercopithecidae. The record is from RNAcentral.